Bubalus bubalis (water buffalo) is the source of this 1376-nucleotide RNA transcript. It is a transcript of the gene named WBP2 N-terminal like, with no coding region annotated. The transcript is spliced from 8 exons. Lineage: Eukaryota; Metazoa; Chordata; Mammalia; Artiodactyla; Bovidae. The record is from RefSeq and is a predicted model, not a curated record.
CCCUCACGUGACCAGCCGCCUCAGUCACUCACUCCGGGUCCUUGCGCCAUAAUCCCCUCCCUCCCCUUCAGAACCGCACCCAACAGCUUGGCGCAGGCCCCGCCCCUUCCCAUCUGCGGGGCGGCAGGAGGAGGCCUGGGCAGGAUGGCAGUGAACCAGAGCCACACCGAGAGCCGUCGUGGGGCCCUCAUCCCCUCUGGCGAAAGUGUCUUGAAGCAGUGUGAGGAUGUGGACCUCUGCUUCCUGCAGAAACCAGUGGAAUCCUAUCUCUUUAAUGGCACAAAGAAAGGAACGUUGUUUCUCACUUCAUACCGGGUGGUCUUCGUGACUUCACACUUAGUCAAUGACACCAUGCUUUCUUUUAUGAUGCCGUUUGGCCUGAUGAGUGACUGCACCAUUGAACAACCAAUUUUUGCCCCCAACUACAUUAAAGGAACCAUUCAGGCAGCUCCAGGUGGUGGCUGGGAAGGACAAGCUGUUUUUAAGUUAUCCUUCAGGAAAGGAGGUGCCAUUGAAUUUGCCCAACUGAUGGUAAAAGCUGCCUCUGCUGCUGCCAGAGGAAUUCCACUUGGAAGUGUAAAUUACUGGUUCGACACUUCAGGACUGUACAUAAUUACUGUCCCAGGGGCUGCGGUGUGCUCCUCACAGACACCUUGUCCAGCAUAUCCAAUUGUGAUCUAUGGACCCCCACCACCAGGAUAUAGAGCCCAACCAGGGGAAUAUGGAACUCCACCAGAAGGAUAUGGAGCCCAACCAGGGGGAUAUGGAGCCCCACCUAUGGGAUAUGGAGUCCCACCUGGGGGAUAUGGAGCCCCACCUGGGGGAUAUGGAGCCCCACCUGUGGGAUAUGGAGUCCCACCUGGGGGAUAUGGAGCCCCACCUGGGGGAUAUGGAGCCCCUCCUGGGGGAUAUGGAGCCCCACCUGGGGGAUAUGGAGCCCCUCCUGGGGGAUAUGGAGCCCCACCUGCGGGAUAUGGAGCCCCACCAGCUGGAAAUGAAGCCCUACCCCCGGCAUAUGAAGCUCCAUCUGCUGGAAAUACAGCUGCCUUUCAUGGGUCUGUGGCAGCUCAGCAGGAGACUUCUCUUCCCUCCACCUCAUCUUCUUAGGUCCAUUUACCACCUUCUCAGAGUUAAAUCUUGAAGAUUCACCAAGCAAAGGGCACCCUAAAACUGAAGUCACAGUAAGAAGGAAGACUCAGGUGCCAGGUGGUAGGAGGUGUUUGUGUGCACACAGUGGCCUGAUCUUCUCUACACACCUGUGAGGUCCUGUGCCUCAAAACAUAGAUGAAGGUGAGAAGACGACUCCUGUUCUCAAGGAAGGAAGAUGCUUGAAAACAGACUGCAAGCCAACUAGAGGGAGAGAGAUGUGAAGUGGC